AGUGAACGCUGGCGGUAGGCCUAACACAUGCAAGUCGAACGGAAGCACAGUAAGAGCUUGCUCUUACGGGUGGCGAGUGGCGGACGGGUGAGGAAUACAUCGGAAUCUACUUUUUCGUGGGGGAUAACGUAGGGAAACUUACGCUAAUACCGCAUACGACCUACGGGUGAAAGCAGGGGAUCUUCGGACCUUGCGCGAUUGAAUGAGCCGAUGUCGGAUUAGCUAGUUGGCGGGGUAAAGGCCCACCAAGGCAACGAUCCGUAGCUGGUCUGAGAGGAUGAUCAGCCACACUGGAACUGAGACACGGUCCAGACUCCUACGGGAGGCAGCAGUGGGGAAUAUUCGACAAUGGGCGCAAGCCUGAUCCAGCCAUACCGCGUGGGUGAAGAAGGCCUUCGGGUUGUAAAGCCCUUUUGUUGGGAAAGAAAAGCAGCAGGUUAAUACCCCGCUGUUCUGACGGUACCCAAAGAAUAAGCACCGGCUAACUUCGUG
Molecule: ribosomal RNA, 492 nt
Filed under: uncultured bacterium
Lineage: Bacteria
Description: partial 16S ribosomal RNA
Rfam family: Bacterial small subunit ribosomal RNA
Source: RNAcentral